RNAcentral lists this small nuclear RNA (19 nucleotides) under Arabidopsis thaliana (thale cress). RNAcentral's name for it is "snRNA_06129". The record is from RNAcentral. Lineage: Eukaryota; Viridiplantae; Streptophyta; Magnoliopsida; Brassicales; Brassicaceae.
UAUAUCAUUAACCAACAGA